AUCUAAAACCUUUCCGGAGUAUCAAUUGGAGGGCAAGUCUGGUGCCAGCAGCCGCGGUAAUUCCAGCUCCAAUAGCGUAUAUUAAAAUUGUUGCAGUUAAAAAGCUCGUAGUUGAAUUUCUGCUGCAUCCGUGUCAUUCCUAACUGGUUUGUCACUGUUGUGGCUUUUUCUGGUGGUUGUGCUUCGGCUARAUCUCCAGAUUGUUACUUUGAGAAAAUUAGAGUGCUUCAAGCAGGCUUUUGCCUUGAAUACUUUAGCAUGGAAUAACUAAGUAGGACUUUGGUUCUAUUUUGUUGGUUUAAGAGCCAAAGUAAUGAUUAAUAGGAACAGUUGGGGGCAUUCGUAUUUAACUGUCAGAGGUGAAAUUCUUAGAUUUGUUAAAGACGAACUACUGCGAAAGCAUUUGCCAAGGAUGUUUUCAUUAAUCAAGAACGAAAGUUAGGGGAUCGAAGACGAUCAGAUACCGUCGUAGUCCUAACCAUAAACUAUGCCGACUAGAGAUUGGAGGUCGUCAGUUUGAACGACUCCUUCAGCACCUUGAGAGAAAUCAA
This 551-nucleotide ribosomal RNA is filed under the name Cytauxzoon europaeus. RNAcentral's name for it is "SSU rRNA". The record is from RNAcentral. Lineage: Eukaryota; Apicomplexa; Aconoidasida; Piroplasmida; Theileriidae.